CUGUAGUCUGCAACCCGACUACACGAAGCUGGAAUCGCUAGUAAUCGCGAAUCAGAAUGUCGCGGUGAAUACGUUCCCGGGUCUUGUACACACCGCCCGUCACACCAUGGGAGUCGGGAAUGCCCGAAGUCAGUGACCCAACCAUAUGGAGGGAGCUGCCGAAGGCAGGUCUGAUAACUGGGGUGAAGUCGUAACAAGGUACC
This 203-nucleotide ribosomal RNA is filed under the name uncultured bacterium. Its description in RNAcentral is "partial 16S ribosomal RNA". It matches the Rfam family "Bacterial small subunit ribosomal RNA", at positions 1298 to 1500 of the family's 1533-position model. The record is from RNAcentral.